Non-coding RNA from Spinacia oleracea (spinach), 87 nucleotides. The record is from Rfam. NCBI's taxonomy places the organism in Eukaryota, Viridiplantae, Streptophyta, Magnoliopsida, Caryophyllales, Amaranthaceae.
AGCCUAUUAGCUCAACUGGUCGAGCACUUUGUAUUGGUACUUCAAACCAAUACAAAGAGGAUGUAGGUUCAAAUCCUACAUAGGCUA